CGCGUAGGCGGCUCGCUAAGUUGGAUGUGAAAACUCUGGGCUUAACCCAGAGCCUGCAUCCAAAACUGGCAAGCUUGAGUACUGGAGGGGAAAGCGGAAUUCCUGGUGUAGCGGUGAAAUGCGUAGAUAUCAGGAGGAACACCGGUGGCGAAGGCGGCUUUCUGGACAGUAACUGACGCUGAGGCGCGAAAGCUAGGGGAGCAAACA
This 207-nucleotide ribosomal RNA is filed under the name uncultured bacterium. Its description in RNAcentral is "partial 16S ribosomal RNA". It matches the Rfam family "Bacterial small subunit ribosomal RNA", at positions 568 to 774 of the family's 1533-position model. The record is from RNAcentral.